Molecule: ribosomal RNA, 291 nt
Filed under: uncultured bacterium
Lineage: Bacteria
Description: partial 16S ribosomal RNA
Rfam family: Bacterial small subunit ribosomal RNA
Source: RNAcentral
GUGCCAGCCGCCGCGGUAAUACAUGUGGGGCAAGCGUUGUUCGGAAUUACUGGGCAUAAGGGUGCGUAGGCGGUUUGUUAAGUCAGGGGUGAAAGUUUUCGGCCCAACCGGAAAAUGGCCUUUGAUACUGGCGAACUCGAGUGCGUGAGGGGUAACCGGAACGAGUGGUGUAGCGGUGAAAUGCGUAGAUAUCACUCGGAAGGCCAAAGGCGAAGGCAGGUUACUGGUACGCAACUGACGCUGAGGCACGAAAGCGUGGGGAGCAAACAGGAUUAGAUACCCUGGUAGUCC